This 383-nucleotide ribosomal RNA is filed under the name uncultured bacterium. RNAcentral describes it as "bacterial SSU rRNA". It matches the Rfam family "Bacterial small subunit ribosomal RNA", at positions 29 to 414 of the family's 1533-position model. The record is from RNAcentral.
AUUGAACGCUGGCGGAAUGCUUUACACAUGCAAGUCGAGCGGCAGCGCGGGGCAACCUGGCGGCGAGCGGCGAACGGGUAAGUAAUACAUCGGAACGUACCCAGUUGUGGGGGAUAGCCCGGCGAAAGCCGGAUUAAUACCGCAUACGACCUGAGGGUGAAAGGGGGGGAGUCGCAAGACCUCUCGCAGUUGGAGCGGCCGAUGGCGGAUUAGCUAGUUGGUAGGGUAAAGGCCUACCAAGGCAACGAUCUGUAGUUGGUCUGAGAGGACGACCAGCCACACUGGGACUGAGACACGGCCCAGACUCCUACGGGAGGCAGCAGUGGGGAAUUUUGGACAAUGGGCGCAAGCCUGAUCCAGCAAUGCCGCGUGCAGGAAGAAGG